RNAcentral lists this ribosomal RNA (291 nucleotides) under Copepoda environmental sample. Its description in RNAcentral is "partial 18S ribosomal RNA". It matches the Rfam family "Eukaryotic small subunit ribosomal RNA", at positions 39 to 329 of the family's 1831-position model. Lineage: Eukaryota; Metazoa; Arthropoda; Copepoda. The record is from RNAcentral.
AAAGAUUAAGCCAUGCAUGUCCAAGUACAAGCCGAACUAAGGUGAAACCGCGAAUGGCUCAUUAAAUCACACCUGAUACACUGGACGUUCCCAGUUACUUGGCAUAACUGCGGUAAUUCUGGAGCUAAUACAUGCAUCCCAGCCCCGAACGCAAGUGAGGGGCGCUUUUAUUAGACCAAGACCAAACGCCCUCGGGCGUCCCCUGGUGACUCUGAAUAACUUUUGGCGGAUCGCACGAAUUCACUUCGGCGACGCGUCCUUCUAAGGUGUGCCCUAUCAACUUUCGACUGU